This 350-nucleotide unclassified non-coding RNA is filed under the name soil metagenome. Its description in RNAcentral is "partial contains 5.8S ribosomal RNA, internal transcribed spacer 2, and large subunit ribosomal RNA". The stretch from base 1 to 120 matches the Rfam family "5.8S ribosomal RNA", at positions 35 to 154 of the family's 154-position model. The record is from RNAcentral.
GAUGAAGAACGUAGCGAAAUGCGAUAAGUAAUGUGAAUUGCAGAAUUCAGUGAAUCAUCGAAUCUUUGAACGCACAUUGCGCCCGCCAGUAUUAUGGCGGGCAUGCCUGUUCGAGCGUCAUUUCAACCCUCAAGCCCAGCUUGGUGUUGGGGAUCGGCACAGGCGCCCUCGGGCGCCAGCCGUCCCCUAAAUCUAGUGGCGGUCCCGCUGCAGCCUCCUCUGCGUAGUAGUUUUCUCCUCGCAAGGGCAGCUCGGUGGCGACCUCGCCGUAAAACCCCCAACUUCUGAAAGGUUGACCUCGAAUCAGGUAGGAAUACCCGCUGAACUUAAGCAUAUCAAUAAGCGGAGGA